RNAcentral lists this ribosomal RNA (253 nucleotides) under uncultured bacterium. RNAcentral describes it as "partial 16S ribosomal RNA". It matches the Rfam family "Bacterial small subunit ribosomal RNA", at positions 524 to 776 of the family's 1533-position model. The record is from RNAcentral.
UACGUAGGGCGCAAGCGUUAUCCGGAAUUAUUGGGCGUAAAGAGCUCGUAGGCGGUUUGUCGCGUCUGCCGUGAAAGUCCGGGGCUCAACUCCGGAUCUGCGGUGGGUACGGGCAGACUAGAGUGAUGUAGGGGAGGCUGGAAUUCCUGGUGUAGCGGUGAAAUGCGCAGAUAUCAGGAGGAACACCGAUGGCGAAGGCAGGUCUCUGGGCAUUAACUGACGCUGAGGAGCGAAAGCGUGGGGAGCGAACAGG